GACGAACGCUGGCGGCGUGCUUAACACAUGCAAGUCGAACGGAAAGGCCCUGCUUUUGUGGGGUGCUCGAGUGGCGAACGGGUGAGUAACACGUGAGUAACCUGCCCUUGACUUUGGGAUAACUUCAGGAAACUGGGGCUAAUACCGGAUAGGAGCUCCUGCUGCAUGGUGGGGGUUGGAAAGUUUCGGCGGUUGGGGAUGGACUCGCGGCUUAUCAGCUUGUUGGUGGGGUAGUGGCUUACCAAGGCUUUGACGGGUAGCCGGCCUGAGAGGGUGACCGGCGACAUUGGGACUGAGAUACGGCCCAGACUCCUACGGGAGGCAGCAGUGGGGAAUAUUGCACAAUGGGCGGAAGCCUGAUGCAGCAACGCCGCGUGCGGGAUGACGGCCUUCGGGUUGUAACCGCUUUCGCCUGUGACGAAGCGUGAGUGACGGUAAUGGGUAAAGAAGCACCGGCUAACUACGUG
This 467-nucleotide ribosomal RNA is filed under the name uncultured bacterium. RNAcentral describes it as "partial 16S ribosomal RNA". It matches the Rfam family "Bacterial small subunit ribosomal RNA", at positions 28 to 507 of the family's 1533-position model. The record is from RNAcentral.